RNAcentral lists this ribosomal RNA (401 nucleotides) under uncultured bacterium. Its description in RNAcentral is "partial 16S ribosomal RNA". It matches the Rfam family "Archaeal small subunit ribosomal RNA", at positions 473 to 873 of the family's 1478-position model. The record is from RNAcentral.
ACACCGGCAGCUCUAGUGGUAGCAAUUUUUAUUGGGCCUAAAGCGUCCGUAGCCGGUUUAAUAAGUCUCUGGUGAAAUCCUGCAGCUUAACUGUGGGAAUUGCUGGAGAUACUAUUAGACUUGAGAUCGGGAGAGGUUAGAGGUACUCCCAGGGUAGAGGUGAAAUUCUGUAAUCCUGGGAGGACCGCCUGUUGCGAAGGCGUCUAACUGGAACGAUUCUGACGGUGAGGGACGAAAGUUAGGGGCGCGAACCGGAUUAGAUACCCGGGUAGUCCUAACUGUAAACGAUGCGGACUUGGUGUUGGGGUGGCUUUGAGCUGCUCCAGUGCCGAAGGGAAGCUGUUAAGUCCGCCGCCUGGGAAGUACAGUCGCAAGACUGAAACUUAAAGGAAUUGGCGGGG